Long non-coding RNA from Lolium rigidum, 2006 nucleotides. RefSeq lists it as uncharacterized. The record is from RefSeq and is a predicted model, not a curated record. The transcript has 3 exons. Lineage: Eukaryota; Viridiplantae; Streptophyta; Magnoliopsida; Poales; Poaceae.
ACCAAAGAGGCAGAGAAGCGGGGGAAGAAGAGAAGAAAUCGCCGCCUGUAGUCGUCGGUCGGAGAGGAGACCGUGCGCCGCGGUCGAGCGCAGUUCGCUGCGCCCUUCCGCAUGCUGGGGGCGGUCGUCGUGGGGUCUCGGAGCUUCUCUGUCGUCGCUAUUCGAGCUCGGAUCCUUUGGUACAUAAGCUUGUUGUUCUUCCAUUGCUGGUGGUGAAGAAUAACUCCGUGAGCGGACUGAGACCUGCGUAUAGCCUUCUAUUGUUUUGGUGAUGUUCGAGUAGGCGGAUUUUUUGUGGAUCUGUGAUUUUGUUCAUGCUUUCGUUCAUGAGCGUGACAAAUUUAGUAGAAGCGGGACGAAUUCGUGGAGUUUUUUAGAUGUUUGUUGCUCCCUUGUUGCUUGUUGUGUGUAGUAGCCCUAUGCCCCCGCUCGUUUUUGUAACUGAGCAUUCUAGAGAUGUGGAGAAGCUGAAGAUAGGGGUGCAUGUACACCACAGUGGAUGCCGUGGAUAUGUGUUUUCGUUGUUUUUGUUUGCAGCAGCGUGAUGUAGUAAUUUCCAGUUGCAGCAGUGUAAUUCGAGUAGGGGUAUUCAAAAUGCAGUGUAUAUACAUUGGGGUAGCUAUGAUUUUCUUCAUUGGAUAUGCAGUAUCAUGCCAAGUGCAGGGGUAUUCAAAAUGUCUGAAAAUGCUAGUGCAACUACUCUGUGUUGUGUGUGUCAGUGUGUGGAGUGAUCUGGAGCUUUUUUGCUUUUACCUAGAGGUAAUUGAAAUGUAAAUGCCUAAAUGCAGUGUAUAUACAGAGUGAUUUUGGAUGUAAAUGCAGUGUGGGUUGAGUGUUUAUUUGUUGAUUUUGGAUGUAUAUAUGCUAUGUGUAUAUGCCUUUGUGUUCUGUGUAUAUGCAUUCCCCAGGGGCAAAUCCAGUUUCAUAGUGUAGAUACAACCGUAGAUGCCGUGUGUGUACACACAAUUUGUAGAUGCAGUGUGUAUGUUUUCCUGCUGCUAGUUGUUUCACGAGGUGGACGAUUUUUCAGGCAGCAAACCCAGUUGUUUGUAUGCAUUUCUAGUACUUUUUCAGAGAUUUUCAUGAUCUGCACGGGUUGGUUGUUAGCCAGUGUGUCAGACAAUGUUGUCCACCUGUUGUUUUCCUUCCGCAUAUACACUGCGUAUAGUGUAUAUGCAUAGUAUAUAUAGUGUAUAUGCAUAGUAUAUAGUGUAUUUACAUAGUGUAUAUGCAUAGUGUAUUUACAUAGUGUAUAUGCAGUGUAUAUUCUUAGUGCAUAUUAUAUAUAGUGUAUACAAUUGGUUAUGAAUAUUAUAUAUAGUGUAUAUGCAAAUGUAAACACACUGUAUACACAUACACAUUGUAACUGUUAUUUUAUUUGGAUAUAAAUGUACAGCUGGUUGAUUCUUUGAUUCAAUUAAUAUACAUUGAUCUAUUUUCUUUUCAUAAUAGAUUCAAAACUUCGUUACCCUGUGGAAUAUUCUUGUAACUCCUCACAUGUCUUACCAAAUAGACUUUGGUGAAUACCAAACAAGAUAUCCAGCUGUUCCAAAACAGAACAACAGUGAUGAUUGUGGUGUGUUCAUGAUGAAGUUCAUGGAAAUCCAUGAUCCAAGAGCUCAAAUGUAGAAUGCAUUUCCUCAAGCCGACAUCAUAAACCUGAGGAUCAAAUAUGCCAACGAAUUUACUUCAGCAAUUUUAAUACCAUAGAGAUAACUAUUGUAUCGGAAUACUUUGGUGAUGUUGGAAUGUUAAGAGAUCAAGAUUACAAGUCCAAAACGCGAUGUUCUUUGAUCACCAGACGAGGUGUGGGCUGAGGGGUGCCAGGGGAUUUAUUUGCUUAGUAUUUUUGUUACCGAUGUAUAUGAGGGUUGUCAAAAGCCCAAACUUGUAAUGUACGUAAAGCUAGAAGCAAAUAUAGUUCUAUUUUUUCACUGUAAGAUACUGCAGAUGUUUGCGUAACUAUGAUUUUGCAUACAGAAUGGAUGAUUCCGAAUCAAUGUGUA